This 468-nucleotide ribosomal RNA is filed under the name uncultured bacterium. RNAcentral describes it as "partial 16S ribosomal RNA". It matches the Rfam family "Bacterial small subunit ribosomal RNA", at positions 28 to 507 of the family's 1533-position model. The record is from RNAcentral.
GACGAACGCUGGCGGCGUGCUUAACACAUGCAAGUCGAACGGAAAGGCCCUGCUUUUGUGGGGUGCUCGAGGGGCGAACGGGUGAGUAACACGUGAGUAACCUGCCCUUGACUUUGGGAUAACUUCAUGCAACUGGGGCUCAUACCGGAUAGGAGCUCCUGCUGCAUGGUGGGGGUUGGAAAGUUUAGGCGGUUGGGGAUGGACUCGCGGCUUAUCAGCUUGUUGGUGGGGUAGUGGCUUACCAAGGCUUUGCCGGGUAGCCGUCCCGAGCGUGUGACGGGCCACAUCCGGACUGAGAUACGGACCAGACCCCGACUGGAAGGAGAGGUGGGAAUGAUUGCACAAUGGGCGGGAGGCUGACGCAGCACUGGCGAGUGCGGGAUGGCGGCCUUCGGGUUGGGAAUCGAUUUCGCCUGUGACGAAGCGUGAGUGACGGUAAUGGGUAAAGAAGGACCGGCUAACUACGUG